GCCCUAUUUUGACCUUACAGUUAAGUGAAGGUCCGUGUUGUGUGGUAUGCCUCAGCUCUCUGCUCUGCUGGAGUCUAACCACCAGACAUUUUGAUUUCAACAAGAGUGCUGAUGAAAAAUAAAUAAGCUGGAGGUAAAAAAAAGAGGCAGUAUUCACAUAGAAUAUUAUCAGGGCUGCUGUGUGACUGUGCCAGAGGUGACUAAGGGAAAAGAAGAAAGCAAGCUUCUGAAAUGAGGGUUCAGGAAGUAACUGAGUGUGGCUUCUUGGUGCUGCUGUGGUGACAGAACAGGCUACGUGGCCAAGGCAAGAUCUACUAAAGCUGAACAUGUACAUAUUUUAUGACCCAACAAUUCUAAUCCUGUGGCUACAUCCAAUCCAGAUAAGUGCUAUGUCUACCCUCCUGCCUGAAGUAACCAAAAAUGGACAAAAUAUAUGAAGCAAUGGUUUUUAAGGCAUUGUAUAUCAAGCAAUGAAGCAUAAUGACCCCUGAGAGAUGGGAAAUGAAUAAGGUGAGCCCUACAAUUGUACUAGUUUACUGCUUUGAGAGAGUUUCUAGGCUGUGGUGCACGGAGGAAUAACCCAGGAAGAGACUGGCAGAUUCCCUGAGUUGAAGCGAGUGCUGAGAACCCAGGGAUACCAAGAUGGCUAAAAUUCUUAAGACAGAGUACUAGAGAAGAGAGACACAGAGAAAACUCUAGAGAUCUGCAGAGAUUUGCCUAUGACAAUUCAGCUGAGUGAUUCCCAUCAUAUGUUUGUGAGGAAACUAUCUGAGGUUUAAAAAAUAAUCACUCAAAAUGAAUAGAGGAUACAGUACUCCAUGCUCACACAGGGCUGGGAAUAGUGCCUGUUUCCAUCAUCCAGACUGGAAAAACCUCAAGAUUCCUGGGGCACUGAGUAGAAUACAGAUAAAAGUCCUGCUUCAUUAGUGAGGAAUAAUUAGCCCUAGACAAGCAAUGCUCUAGUCCUGUACAACAAAUGUGGUAUGAAGAUUAUAUGGUAUUGAGUUUAUAAAAUAUGAAAAAGUAAAAUAUAUAGCAACAGUAGCAAAAUUUGGGAUGGGAGAAAUGAAAGUGAACUAUUGGACAGUUCUCAUACUAUACAUGAAGUAGUGUAUUACUCGAAGGUAGAGUAUGCUAAAGAUAUAUGCUAUAAACUCUAAAAUAACUAAACGAAACCACUAAAAUAACAA
Molecule: long non-coding RNA, 1190 nt
Filed under: Homo sapiens (human)
Lineage: Eukaryota; Metazoa; Chordata; Mammalia; Primates; Hominidae
Description: novel transcript, antisense to STXBP6
Source: RNAcentral